UUGCUGCAGCUCAACCUGUGGCACCUUAUAUUUCCGCCUUCCGAUCUCCCCCUGACCCUUCCUCAGCUUUCCCAUCACGGAGGGUCUGCUUUUCUCAACCAGAGAGGUUCAGCUGGUCCAGCGGUUUCGGUGUGAGGGCUGUACAAGAGCCCGAGGCCAAGCCUGGACAGUGAGGCCUGACUCCUUGCCCAGACCACCCUCCUAUGGCCUCAGACCCAGGGCCAGGGUGCUGUUGAUGUAACAGAGCAGAGGGGCAGCAGAUGAAUGGACACCUUUAACCAGAGGAGCAGCAGAACCAGGUAAGUGUCCAGCUGAAAGCCAAGAUCAUUUACUGCGGACCCCCCCAUCAGUGAGCUCUGCUUUCCCUCCGAGCAGGUGCAAGUACUCCUCCCCAUUUCCCAGACAGGGCAGCUGACGCUGAGCAAUCAGAGGCUUCCCAGACUGUGGGCUGGAGAGCUCAGUGCUGCAUCUUCCUAUCUCUCGAUCUUCCGUCUCUGUCCCUCAUCACGUCACUGCAGCACGCAUCAUCUGGGACUGUUGCUACUGUGGUGUGAGGUACAUUUGUUUAGCAAUAAAUGAACUUACUCCUCCACUUGUCUCUUUAUAGAAAGUUUUGUCCCGGGUCUCAUUCAGCAUAUGUCUUUCUGCGUUUCUGUCUUAUGCUAGGUCUCUUGACACCUCCUGG
This 685-nucleotide long non-coding RNA is filed under the name Urocitellus parryii (Arctic ground squirrel). Its description in RNAcentral is "lncRNA (ENSUPAG00010012701.1)". Lineage: Eukaryota; Metazoa; Chordata; Mammalia; Rodentia; Sciuridae. The record is from RNAcentral.